GAUGAACGCUGGCGGCGUGCCUAAUACAUGCAAGUCGAGCGAACGGACGAGAAGCUUGCUCCUCUGAUGUUAGCGGCGGACGGGUGAGUAACACGUGGAUAACCUACCUAUAAGACUGGGAUAACUUCGGGAAACCGGAGCUAAUACCGGAUAAUAUUUUGAACCGCAUGGUUCAAAAGUGAAAGACGGUCUUGCUGUCACUUAUAGAUGGAUCCGCGCUGCAUUAGCUAGUUGGUAAGGUAACGGCUUACCAAGGCAACGAUGCAUAGCCGACCUGAGAGGGUGAUCGGCCACACUGGAACUGAGACACGGUCCAGACUCCUACGGGAGGCAGCAGUAGGGAAUCUUCCGCAAUGGGCGAAAGCCUGACGGAGCAACGCCGCGUGAGUGAUGAAGGUCUUCGGAUCGUAAAACUCUGUUAUUAGGGAAGAACAAAUGUGUAAGUAACUGUGCACAUCUUGACGGUACCUAAUCAGAAAGCCACGGCUAACUACGUG
RNAcentral lists this ribosomal RNA (497 nucleotides) under uncultured bacterium. RNAcentral describes it as "partial 16S ribosomal RNA". It matches the Rfam family "Bacterial small subunit ribosomal RNA", at positions 28 to 507 of the family's 1533-position model. The record is from RNAcentral.